Molecule: non-coding RNA, 11483 nt
Organism: Peromyscus maniculatus bairdii (prairie deer mouse)
Lineage: Eukaryota; Metazoa; Chordata; Mammalia; Rodentia; Cricetidae
Source: RefSeq, a predicted model, not a curated record
CCGCUGCGUGGGGCCCGAGGGCGGGCAAGUGUUGUGUACGAAGGCCACCGGCGAGGUGCUGCUCAGCCGGGAUGGAGGCCGCCUCCUGGAGGCGCUGCACUUAGAGCAUCCCUUAGCCAGGACCACGUUAAGGUAUGUAUUGUUGGUUUCCAAUGGGAAGAACGUAAAUUUCCAAGAAUUGAAAUAUCAACUGAAACUAAGUUGACAUCCAGAAUGCUGCCAUCUCAAACAAGUUGAUGUCUUUGAUCCUGUUGUGUCUGUUAAACAUUUGGAUGACCAUGAGCAGACCUAUCAUGCUAUUCCUAUUACUGCUGGAAGCCAUGUUGAUGCCGGGGUUCUUUCUUGCCCAUGGAUCUGAUGUUGAUGUCUAUCAUCUGUCCUGCUCUCUGUGACAAUGUUGAUGUGAGAGUUCUGUGUUGCCAACAUGAAAAAUGUUCCUUUCCCUGAUCUAAACUAUCAUUGAAAACCAUGUUGCUGUCCAUUCUACAUGCUGCCACCUGAAACCAUGUGAAUUUAAUUGAUCCCUGCUGCCUCUGUUCACCAUAUGAAUGUCCAUGAUCAGAUUAUAAUGCUAUUCCUACUACUUCUGGAAACAGUGUUGAUGCUCAUGAUCUUCUUACCACUGGACACCAGGUUGAUUCUAUGAUCUCUCCUGCUACCUGUGACCAUGUUAAGGUAAGUGUUGCUUGUUGCCAAUGUGUAGAAUGUUAAUUCCCAAGAUUUAACCAAGCAAUGGUAACUAAGCAGAUACACAGAAUUCAUGCUGUCGCCUGCAACCAUGCUGCUGCCUCUGUUAACCCUGUAGAUGUCUAUCAAUGGACCUCUAAUGCGUUCCUAUUGGUUCUAAAGCCAUGUUGAUGCAUGUGGUCCUUGUUUCCAUGGGAGAACAUCUUGAUGGCCAUGACCUCUCUAUCUCCUUAGGACCAUGUUAGGUAAAUAUUGUUUCCAACAUAAAGAAUGUAAGUUUCCAGGAAUUGAAAUAUCAGCUGGAACUAAGUUGACACCGGAAUGUAUGCUGCCAUCUCAAACAAGUUGAUGUCAUUGAUCCCUGCUGCCUCUGUUAACCAUGUUGAUGUCUAUGAUCAGAACUUCCAUGCUAUUCCUAUUGGUUCCGGAAGCCAUGUUGAUGCCCAUCAUGCCACUUGUUACUACUGGAAAACAUCUUGAUAUGGAUGACCUGUCUGGAUACUGGUGACUACAUUAAGGUAAAUGUUCUGUGUUACCAGUGUGAACAAUGUAAAUUUGCAAGAAUUAAACUACCAUCUGAAACUAAGUUAAUACCCAUAGUUCAUGCUGCUGCCCGCAGACAAGUUGAUGCCAGUGUUCCCUGCGGCCUCCGUUAAACAUUUUGAUAUCCACGAUCGGAUAGUCCAUGGUGUUCCUACUAUUUCUGGGAUCCAUGUCAAUGCCUGUGGUCCUUCUUACUCCUCGAUAGGAAGUUUAUGCCCAUCUUUCCUGCCAUUGUGUUGCCAAUGAGAAAAAUGUCAAUUUUCAAAAUUUAAUCUACAAUCUGAAAAUAAGUUGAUAUCCAUGUUUCAUGCUGCCACCUGCAACCACAUUGAUGUCAUUGAUCCCACAUGCCUCUGUUAACCAGAUUGAUGUCCAACAUAGGACCUACCAUGCUAUUCCCACUAUUUCUGGAAGCCAUGUUGAUGCCUGUGGUCCUUCCUAUCACUGCAUACAUUGUUGAUUUCCAACAUCUCUCCUCUCCUUGUGACCACAUUAAAGUAAGUGUUCUGUGUUGCCAAUAUGCAAAUUGUUAAUUUCCAAGAUUUAACCUACCAUCCAAAAGUAAGAUGAAAUCCAUAAUUCAUGAUGCCUCCUGAAACCAUGUUGAUGUCUUUGAUCCCAAGUGCCUCUGUUAAUCAAAUGGAUGUCCAUUAUGGGAUGGACCUACUAUGCUAUUCCUACUAUUUCUGGAAGCCUUGUUGAUGCUUAUGGUCUUUCUUACCCGUGGAUAUGACAUUGAUGUCCAUCAACUCUUCUGUCACCUGAGACCAUGUUAGUGCAAGAGUUCUCUGUUGCCAUCAUGAUGAGUGUUAAUUUCCGUGAUCUCAGCUACCAUGUGAACUAUGUUGAUAUCUGUAGUACAUGCUGCCACCUGUAACUUUGUUGAUAUCACUGCUGCCUGCUGCCUCCUUUUCCAUGUUGAUGUCUAUCAUGAGCCUUACCAUGCCAAUCCUGUUGGUUUGAAGGCCAUGUUGAUGCCUUGUGUUACGUUUUGCUCUUGGAUAAGAUGCUGAUGUUGAUGGUCUGUCCUGCCACCCAAGACCAUGUUGAGUUGUGGAUGCCUGUGGUCCUUGGUACCCCUGGAUAUGAUGUUGAUGUUGAUGUUCUGUCCUGACUCCUGAGUCCAUGCUGAGCAUUUUCUCAACAUAAAGUUAAGUGUUUGAAGUAAAGGGGAAGAUGUUUGAGGCAGGAUAUCAUUUGACAAAUGAUAAACAGAGAAAAACUGGAAGACUACCAGAAUGAACAUAAAAUACAGGACCGUAUGAAGCAACAAAAAGAAAGGAAAGAAGUGUAAGAGACAUAGAACAAGAAAAACAUACAGAUAUGAACAUUAACUGUAAGUUCAUGGGAAGCUGUGUAUAGCACUUUUACUUGGAAGAGAUUAUUUAAAAAUCUAGAUUUUUGAUGUCAGAAAAAAUUUUCAAAUGACAAAAUUGAUAUUGUAUAUAAAAUCAUAAAAGAUGGCAUAUUGUAUGUUCAUAUCACAUUUUGCUCUGUUACAUUUAUCCUUUUGAAAAGCACUGACAAUGUUAACAAUAACAAAAGGUAGCUAAAACUGAAGUAAUAUGAGUACUAAAGAAUGUCCAUGAUGCCAGCUGCCACCAGCAACCUUGUUGUUAUCCUGAUCCAUGGUACAGUGGGCACCAGGGUGAUGUCCAUGAUCCAAGCUUCCACCAAAACACAUGGAGAUGUCCUUGGUCCAUACUGCUGCUAGACACCAUGUUUGUGUCCUUGAUCAGGGCCCCUCCCAAAGACCAUGUUGAUGUCCGUUAUCCUAACUACCAUCCAAACUAUGCUGAUGUCACUGAUCUUUGCUGCUGCUGCAUGUUGAUGCCCAUAGUUCCUGUUGCCACCAGAGACCAUGUAAUGUCCAGGGUACAUACUGAUUCUCUAAACCAUGUUGAUACCCUUGGUCCUUGCUACCAAUGCAGAGGAGGUUGAUUUUCCUGGUUCAUGCUUCUUCCAGUAACUAUGUUGAUCUGACUGAUCCUUGCUACUUCUAUAAUGAUGUUGCUACUAGGAUUCAAGGUGUCACACAAAACUAUGUUGAUGUCACUGGUCCCUGUUGCCUCUGUUAACAAUGCUGAUAUCCAUGAUCCAACCUGUCAUGCUGUCCCUAAUGUUUCUGGAAUCCAUGUUGAUGCCUGUGGUCCUUGUUGCCCCUGGAUAUGAUGUUGAGGUCCAAGCUCUGUUCUACCAGCUGAGACCAAAUUGAUGCAGGAGUUCUUUGUUGCCAAUAUGAAGAAUGUUGAUUUAUUUUAUCCGAACUGUCAUCUGAAAUUAAGUUGAUAUCUAGGAUCCAUGCUGACAAUGGCAACCAUGUAGAUGUCCCAAAUCUUUGCUGCCUCAGUUAACCAUGCUGAUAUACAUGAUCCAACCUACCAUGCUAUCCUUACUGAUUCUGGAAGUCGUGUGGAUGCCUGUGGUCCUUGUUGCUCCUGGAAAUGAUGUUGAUAACCAAGAUCUGUGCUGCCAUGUGAGACCAUGUUGAUGGAAGUGUUCAUUGCUGCCAACAUGAAGAAUGUUAAUUUUCAUGAUUUAUCCUACCAUCACAAACUAAGUGGAUAUCCAUAUUUCAUGCUGUCUACUACAACCGAGAUGAUGUCAUUGAUCCAUGCUGCCUCUGUAUAACAUGAUGUCCAUGAUCAAACAUACCAUGCUCUUCCUGUUGCUUCUGGAAUCCAUGCUGAUGCCUGUGGUCCUCCUUAAAACUGAAUACCAUGUUAAUUUUCUGGAUCUCUCCUGCUACCUGUGACUAUGGUAAAGUAAGUGUUGUGCAUUGGCAACAUGAAGGAUGCUCAUUUCUGUGAUUUCACCUAUAAUCCAAACUAUGUAUAGAUCCUUAUUUCAUACUGCAACCAUGUUGAUUUCAGUGACCAUUGCUGCCUGUGUUAACCAUGUUGUUGUCCACAAAUGGACACAUAAUGCUAUUGCUAUUGCUUCUGGAAGCCAUGAUGAUGACCUUGGACCAUGUUACCACUGACUUAAAUUUCCAUGAUCUCUUGCCAUUGUGACCAUAUAAAGGAAGUUUUCUGUGUUGAAUGUGAAGAAUAUUGCUUUCUGAUACUUAACCCACCAUUCAAAAGUAAGUUGAUACCCAAACGAUCUGCAACCAUGUUGAUAUCAUUCAGCCCUGCUACCUCUGUUUACCUUGUUGAUGUCUAUGAAUGGACAUACCUUACGGUUCCUAAUACUUCAGGAAGCCAUGUUGAUCAAGUGGUCCUCAUUACCAUAGGAUAAUGUGUUUAUUGCAAUAACCUCUCCAGCCCUUAUAUUCAUAUUAAGAUAAUGGUUCUCUAUUGCCAACAUGAAGAAUGUAAAUUUCCAAGAAAUGAAAUACCCAGUGAAACUAUGUUGUUAUCCAGAAAACAUACUGCCACCUCAACCAAGUUGAUGUCAUUGAUCCUUGCUUUGUCUGUUAAACAUGUGGAUGUACAUGAGCAGACCUACAUGCUAUCCUAUUAUUUCUGGAAGCCAUGUUGAGCCAGGGUUUUUCUUGCCCAUUGAUCUGAUGUUGAAGUCCAUCAUCUGUCCUGCCACCUGAGACCAUGUUGAUGCAAGAGUUCUGUGUUGCCAACGUGAUGAAUGUUAAUUUCCCUGAUCUCAACUACCGUAUGAAGCUAUGCUGCUAUCCAUUCUACAUGCUGUCACCUGAAACCAUGUGGAUUUAAUUGAUCCCUACUGCCUCUGUUCACCAUAUGGAUGUCCAUGAUCAGAUGAUAAUGCUAUUCCUACUACUUCUGGAAGCAGUGUUGAUGCUCAUGAUCUUCUUACCACUGGACACCAGGUUGAUUCUAUGAUCUCUCCUGCUACCUGUGACCAAGUCAAGGUAAGUGUUCCUUAUUGCCAAUGUGUAGAAUCUUAUUUCCCAAGAUUUAACCAAGCAUUGGUAAGUAAGCUGAUACACAUAAUUCAUGCUGUCGCCUGCACCUUGCUGCUGCCCCUGUUAACCCUGUUGAUGUCCAUCAAUGGACCUCUAAUGCAUUCCUGUAAUCCAUGUUGAUGCAAGUGGUCCUUGUUACCAUGGGAUAACAUCUGGAUGGCCAUGACCUCUCUGGCCCUUUAUGACCAUAUUAAGGUAAUUGUUCUGUGCUGCCAUCGUGAAGAAUGUAAAUUUCUAAGAACUGAAAUACCAGCUGAAACUAAGUUGAAAUCCAGAAUGCAUCCUGCCACCUCCCAACAAGUUGAUGCCAUUGAUCCCUGCUGCCUUUGUUAAACAUAUGGAUGUCCAUGAGUGGACCUACCAUGCUAUUUCUACUAUUUUGGAAGUCAUGUUGAUGAGGGUUCUUUCUUGCUCAUGGAUCUGAUGUUGAAGUCUGUCAUUCACCCUGUAAGCUGAGACCACGUAGAUGCAAGAGUUCUGUGUUGCCAACAUGAAGAAUGUUAAUUUUAUGAUCACAACUACCAGCAAAACCAUGUUGCUAUCCAUUCUACAUGAUGCUGCCUGAAACCAUGUGGAUUUAAUUGAUCCUUGCUGUCUGUUAACCAUUUGGAUGUCCAUGAUCAGAACUACAAAGCUGCUACUUCUGGAAGCAAUGUUGAUGCUCAUGUUCUUGUUACCACUGGACACCAGGUUGAUUGUCAUGAUCUCUCCUGUUAUGUGUGAUCAUAUUAAGGUAAGUGUUCCCUUUUGGCAAUGUGUAGAAUGGUAAUUCCCAAGAUUUAACCACGUGUUGAUAACUAAGCAGAUAUCCAUAAUUCAUGCUGCCACCUGUACCCACACUGAUGCCAUUGAUCCCUGCCUCUGUUAACCCUAUUGAUGUCUAUGAAUGGACCUCUCAUGCAUUCCUAUUGGUUCAGUAAUCCAUGUUGAUGCAUAUGGUCCAUUUUACCACUGGAUAGUGUCCUGAUUGCUAAAAACUCUCUGUCCCCAUAUGACCAUAUUUGGGUAAGUGUUCUAUGUUACAAAUGUCAAGAAUGUAAAUUUCUAAGAAUUGAUCUACCAACUGAAACUAGUAUGAUCUCCGGAAUGCAUGCUGUCACCUCUGAACAAAUUGAUGUCAUUGAUCCCUGCCAUGAAACAUUUGGAUGUCCAGGAGCUAUCCUACGAUGCUAUUCCUACUAUUUCUGGAAGCCAUGUUGAUGCCAGGGUUCUUUUUUGCCCAUGGGUUUGAUGUUGAUUUUCAUCAUCUGUCCUGUUACCUGAGACCAUGUUGAUUCAAGAGUUCCAUCUUGCCAAUAUGAAGAGUGUUGAUUUCCCUACUGACAGCUACUAGCAUCUUAAACUAUGUUGCUGUCCAUUCUACAUGCUAUCACCUGAAACCAUGUGGUUUAAUUGAUCCCUGCUGCCUCUGUAAACCGUAUGGAUGUCCAUGACUGGAACUAGAGUGCUAUUCCUACUAUUUCUGGAAGCAGUGUGAUACUCACUGUUUUCUAAACCAUUGGAUACCAGGUGGAUUUCCAUGAUCUCUCCUGCUAUGAGUGACCAUGUUAAGGUAAGUGUUCCUUGUUGCCAGUGUAUAGAAUGGUAAUUCCCAAGAUUUAACAAGCAGUGGUAACUAAGCUGAUAUCCAUAAUUCGUGCUGCCACUUCCUACCAUGCUGCUGCCGUUGAUCCCUGCUGCCUCUGUUAACCUGCUGAUGUCCAUCAAUGGACCUCCCAUGCAUUCCUAUUGGUUCUAAAGCCAUGUUGAUGCAUGUGGUCCUUGUUUCCAUGGGAGAACAUCUUGAUGGCCAUGACCUCUCCUUUUCCUUAGGACCAUCUUAAGGUAAAUAUUAUUUGUUUACAAUGUGAAGAGUUUAAGUUUCCAAGAAUUGAAAUAUCAGCUGAAACUAAGUUGAUAUUGGAAUGCAUGCUGCCAUCUCGAACAAGUUGAUGUCUUCUAUCCUUGCUGUGUCUGUUAAACAUUUGGAUGACCAUGAGCAGACCUAUCAUGCUAUUCCUAUUAUUUCUGGAAGCCAUGUUAAUUCCAGGAUUCAUUCUUGCCCAUGGAUCUGAUAUUGAUGUCCAUCAUCUGUCCUGUUACCUGAGACCAUGUUGAUGCGAGAGUUCUGUGUUGCCAACGUGAAGAAUGUUAAUUGCCCUGAUCUCAGCUACCAUCUAAACUAUGUUUCUGUCCAUUCUACAUACUGCCACUUGUGAUCAUGAGGAUUUAAUCGAUCCCUGCUGCCUCUGUUAACCAUAUGGAUGUCCAUGAUCAGAACUAGAGUGCUAUUCCUACUACUUCUGGAAGCAAUGCGAUACUCAGGAUCUUCUUACCACUGGACACCAGGUUGAUUUUUAUGAUCACUCCUGCUACUAGUCACCACCUUAAGGUUCCUUGUUACCAAUGUGUAGAAUGGUAAUUUCCAAGACUAACCAACUGUUGGUAACUAAGUUGAUAUGCAUAAUUCAUGCUGCCACCUGCCCCCAUGCUGAUGUCAUUGAUUAGUGCUGCCUCUGCAAACCCUGUUGAUAUUAAUGAAGGGAUCUCCCAUGCAUUCUUAUUGCUUCUGCAAGCCAUUUUGAUGCAUGUGGUCCUUUUUACAAUGGGAUAACAUCUUGAUUGCCAUGAAUUCUCCACCCCUAUGACUGUAUUAAGGUAAGUGUUCUCUGUUGCCAAUGUGAAGAAUGUAAUUUCCAAGAAUUGAAAUACCAACUGAAACUAGUAUGAUAUCCUGAAUACAUGCUGCUACCUCCACACAAGUUGAUGUCAUUGAUCCCUGCUGACUCUGUUAAUCAUAUGGAUGUCCAUGAUCAGAACUACAAAGCUAUUCCUACUGCUUCUGGAAGCGGUGUUGAUGCUCAUGAUCUUCUUACCACUGGACACCAGGUUGAUUUCCAUGAUCUCUCCUGCUACCAAGUCAAGGUAAGUGUUCCUUGUUGCCAAUGUGUAGAAUGGUAAUUCCCAAGACUUAAUGAACCUUUGAUAACUUAGCAGAUAUUCAUAAUUCAUGCUGCCACCUGCACCCAUGCUGAUGCCAUUGAUCCCUGAUGCCUCUGUUAACCCUGUUAAUGUCUAUGAAUGGACUCUCAUGCAUUCCUGUUGGUUCUAAAGCCAUGUUGAUGUAUGUAGUCCUUGUUUCCAUGGGAUAAUAUUUUGAUUGCCUUGACCUCUCUGGCCCCUUAUAACCAUAUUAAUGUAAGUGUUCUGUGUUGCCAACAUGAGGAAUGUAAAUUUCCAAGAACAGAAAUACAAACCAAAACUAAGUUGAUAUCCAGAAUGCAUGCUGUCACCUCUAAACAUGUUGAUGUCAUUGAUCCCUCUGCUGCCUCUAGUAACCAUUUUGAUGUCCAGGAACAGACCUCCCAUGGUAUUUCUAGCAUUUCUGGAAGCCAUGUCGAUGACUGUGGUCCUUCUGGCCCCUAUAUUCCAUAAAGAUUUCCUUGAUAUCUCUUGCCAACUUUGACAAUGUUAAUUAAGUGUUCUGUGCUGUCAAUGUAAAGAACAUAAAUUUCCAAGAACUCAACAUCCAACCGAAACUAAGUUGAUAUCCAGAAUGCAUGGUGCCACCUCCAAACAUGUUGAAGUCAUUGAUCCCUCCUGCCUCUAUUAGACACGUUGAUGUUUAUGAUUGGAAUUAUAGUGAUAUUCCUAUCACAUUUGGAAUCCACGAUGAUGCCCAUUGUUUUUGUACCAGUAGAUACCAUUUUGAUUCCCAUGAUCUCUCCUGCUGUCUUUGACCUUGUUAAAUUAUGUAUUCUGUGCUGCCAACAUGAAGAAUGUUAAGUUCCAAGAUUUAACCAUUGAAAUGUUAAUUUCCAAGAUUUCAUCAAUCUUGAAAACUAAUUUUAUAUCAACAAUUCCUGGUGUCACCUGCAUCCAUGGUCAUUUUAUUGAUUCCUGCUGCCUCUGUUAACCAUGUUGAUGUCUAUGAUCAGAACUUCCAUGGUAUUCCUAUUGGUUCCAGAAGCCAUGUUGAUGCCCAUCAUGCCACUUGUUACCACUGGAAAACAUCUUGAUAUGGAUGACCUGUCUGGACACUUGUGACUAUAUUAAGGUAAAUGUUCUGUGUUACCAGUGUGAACAAUGUAAAUUUGCAAGAAUUAAACUACCAUCUGAAACUAAGUUAAUACCCAUAGUUCAUGCUGCUGCCCGCAGACAAGUUGAUGCCAGUGUUCCCUGCGGCCUCCGUUAAACAUUUUGAUAUCCACGAUCGGAUAGUCCAUGGUGUUCCUACUAUUUCUGGGAUCCAUGUCAAUGCCUGUGGUCCUUCUUACUCCUCGAUAGGAAGUUUAUGCCCAUCUUUCCUGCCAUUUUAUUGCUAAUGAGAAAAAUGUCAAUUUUCAAAAUUUAAUCUACAAUCUGAAAAUAAGUUGAUAUCCAUGUUUCAUGCUGCCACCUGCAACCACAUUGAUGUCAUUGAUCCCACAUGCCUCUGUUAACCAGAUUGAUGUCCAACAUAGGACCUACCAUGCUAUUCCCACUAUUUCUGGAAGCCAUGUUGAUGCCUGUGGUCCUUCCUACCACUGCAUACAUUGUUGAUUUCCAAGAUCUCUCCUCUCCUUGUGACCACAUUAAUGUAAGUGUCUUUGUUGUCAAUAUGCAAAUUAAUUUCCAAGAUUUAACCCACCAUCCAAAAGUAAGAUGAAAUCCAUAAUUCAUGAUGUCACCUGAAACCAUGUUUGAUCCCAAGUGCCUCUGUUAAUCAAAUGGAUGUCCAUUAUGGGAUGGACCUACUAUGCUAUUCCUACUAUUUCUGGAAGCCUUGUUGAUGCUUGUGAUCUUUCUUACCCAUGGAUAUGACAUUGAUGUCCAUCAACUCUUCUGUCACCUGAGACCAUGUUGAUGCAAGAGUUCUGUGUUGCCAUCAUGAUGAGUGUUAAUUUCUGUGAUCUCAGCUACCAUCUGAACUAUGUUGAUAUCGAUAGUACAUGCUGCCACCUGUAACUUCAUUGAUGUUCCUGCUGCCUGCUGCCUCCUUUUCCAUGUUGAUGUCUAUCAUGAGCCUUACCAUGCCAUUCCUGUUGGUUUGAAGGCCAUGUUGAUGCCUUGUGUUACAUUUUGCUCUUGGAUAAGAUGCUGAUGUUGAUGGUCUGUUCUGCCACCUAAGACCAUGCUGAGGUAAGUUUUCUGUGUUGCCAACAUGAAGAAUAUUGAUUUCUAUGAGUUGCCCUAUGGUCUGAACCUAAGUUGAUAUCUGUAAUUCAUUCUGUCCUUGAACCAUGUUGAUAUCACUGAUCCUUGCUCCUUUGUUCAUCAUGUUGAUUACCACGAUCUGACCGACCGUGCUAUCCCUACUGCUUCUGGAAGCUGUGGAUGCCUGUGGUCCCCGGUGCCCUUGAUGUCAAUGUUCAGUCCUGACUCCUGAAUCCAUGCUGAGACCACCAUAUUGAUGUCACUGAUCCUUGCUGCAUGUUUUAACUAUGGUGAUAUCCAUGAUCCAACCCUCCAUUCAAAACUUUGGUGAUGUCACAGAUCCUUCUGACUUCUGAGACCAUGUGGUUGUCCUUGUUCCAUCCUGACACCAGCAACCAUGCUGUCCCUCCUCUGUGCUGCCGCUGUUAACCAUGUUGGUGUCUGGGGUUUGAUCUGCCCCCCAGGCUGUGUUGACAUCGCUGAUUUGUACUGUCACUGGCGAACAUUUUGACAUCUCUGAUCCUUGCUGCCUGUUAGCUAUGUUGCUAGCCCAUGAUCUGCCCUACCACUCAAUCCCUGCUGUUUCCGGAAGCCACGGUGAUGCCUGUGGUCCUUGUUGCCCCUGGAUACGAUGUUGAUGUCCAUGUUCUGUCCUGCCACCUGAGACCACACUGAGGAAAUCAUGUUGAUGUCACUGUUCCUUGCUGCAUCUUCUAACCACGUUGAUCCAACCUACCGUCCAAAACUUUGUUGAUGUUACCGAUCUGUUGACAUCUGUGUUCUGUGCUGCCACCCAAAACCACGCUGGUGUUCAUGGUCUGGACUGCAUGUUGAAGACCAGUUGGAUAUCCAUGACUCAGAUUCUGAUGGAGACUGUGUUGUCAUCUGUGGUCAGUACUGCCACAAGAAGGCAUCCUGGUGUUAGUGAUCAGUGAUGCCUCCCGCAAACAUGUUAUGUUGGUGAUCUGUGUCGAAGUUAGGGACCAGAUGGAUGUCAGUUAUCCAAGCUGUCACCAGAAAUCUUGAGGACCAUGACCUGUGCUGCUGCUGGAAAGCAUGUGGACGUCCGUGAUCUGUACUGCCACUGACAUUUCUUGUCAAAGAAGCUUCUUUUGUAGUAGUAUCCAUGGCUGCAGAAUCAUAACUGAAACGACGACAUCGAAGGCUUCUGUGCCACCCUCUCCAAAAGAAACACUCUAGACAGGACCUUACUGAAGAGAGCCCUUGAAAAUUGUAAUAAAGAUGCUUAAUUGUA